UAAUUAUUUAUUGUUAUUGCAGCAAUAAACACAAGUACAUACACCAAACAAAUUCACGGUUGAAAUUUAAUAACACUGAACUAUUAAUAUCCUAUUCCUAGAUUGUGACAUGUUGAUCUUGGAAGCUGCUAGUUUGUAACCAUUUUGAUAGCAUAUAAUGAUAGGUAAUGAAGCAAGAAGGCAAGGGAGCAAGAAUUGGAGCAAAAAAGAUUGGGGGCAUAGCAAACAGGGCAAGGAGGAAGGGACUUGGGCGUUGCUAACGCCAGGAACAAGGGCGUGUUCCUAGGCAACGCCAGGGACAAAGGAAGCAACCCUGGGAAGUGAUCAUGCACGUUGCCAACUCCAGGAAGAGCUGGAGUGUUUGCCAACAACGCCCAACAAUGGAAGACAGCCCUGGCUCUCUUCUAAGCACGUUACCAACGCCACCAACAAGGGCGUGUUUGGUGACAACGCCAGCAGCAAGAAGGCUUGGGUAGGAAGGGUGUGAAGCACGUUGCCAACGCCAAAUUCUGAAGGUGUGUUCCUUGGCAACGCAGCAAGCAACCUUGGGGAGCUAGUCCAAAGCCUUGAGCACGUUGCCAGCCUAGAGAUGAGGGGUGUGUUUGAGGACAACGCAGGCAAACAACGCUGAAUAGAAUACUUGGCCCAGGAAAGGGAGAUGCACGUUGCCAACGCCAAGUUCUGAAGGCGUGUUCCUUGGCAACGUAGCAAGCAAAGCUUGGUGCCAUAGGGAAGGCUCGAGCACGUUGUUGGGCUGGGAGAGCAUUGGCGUGUUCCAAGGCAACGCCAAGCAAGGAAGCAGCCCUGGAGCAGCCAGCACGUUGCCAACUUGGAAGAAAGGGGGCGUGUUCAGCAACAACUCCAGCGAACUUGGCAGCCUGACCUUACCUUCUUCAAGGAUGCAUAACUUGAGCUACAAAGCUCCAAAGGAAGUGAUUCCAGUGGCAUUGGAAAGUAGACAUCAAGAGCUUUCCAACCAUAUAUCAUAGUAUGGGGUUAGCAUUCAUUUGAAGCUUCAAAAGCUGGCUUCAUUUGGAGCCUCAGAAAGGAGCUCGCUGCUAACGUGGGUUCAUUGGCGUGUUCAUUGGCAACGCAGCAAACUUGGAGCUAGGAAGCAACGACGAGCACGUUGCUAACUUGGAGUUAUAAGGGCGUGUUCAUCAACAACUCCAGCAGCUAGGCAACCUUGGAAUGAAGCAACCCACGUUGGCAACUUGGAAAUACAAAGGAGUGUUUGCCAAAAACGCUGGUGAGCUGGACAGCCUGACCUUACCUCCUUCAAUGGGGUAUAUCUUGAGCUACAAAGCUUCAAAUGAGGUGAUUCCAAUGGCAUUUGAAAGUAGACAUCCAGAGCUUUCCAACCAUAUAUCAUAGUAUGGGAUUGGCAUUCAUUUGAAGCUUCAAAAGCUGGCUUCAUUUAGAGCUUCAGAAUCUGAGCACGUUGGCAACGCUGGAAACAAGGGCGUUUUCACCAAAAACGUGUGCGAUUUUGGCAGCCUGACCCUGUCUCCUUCAAACGAGCAUAACUUGAGUUAUAGAGAUCCAAAUUGAGUGCUUCCAGUUGCGUUGGAAAGCUGACAUUCAGAGCUUUCCAACCAUAUAUAAUAGUUUAUAGUGGAGCAUGAAAUGAAAGCUCGAAUCAGAGUCAUCUUUAGGCCCCAAAAACAAGGAAAUGAGGUUGAAAUUCAAGGAAGCAUGAAUGGGCCCUGGAGGGGAGCAGCGAGCACGUUGCCAACGUGCCAACAAGGGGGAGUGUUCAGCAAUAACGCCAGCCCCAUGUCUCAGCCUUGGGAGGUUUGGCACGUUGCCAACUUGGAAGAGAGGGGCGUGUUCAGCAACAACUUCAACAAACUUGGCAGCCUGACCUUACCUUCUUUGAGGAAGCAUAACUUGAGCUAGAAAAAUCCAAUUGAGAUGAUUCCAAGUGCAUUAGAAAUAAGACACUCUGAGCUUUCCAAUGAUGUAUGAUAGUUCAUAUUGAAGCAGAGGAUUGACACUCAAAUUCUGGGCAACAUUAAGCAUGAAAGUAGAGUCAAGAAGAAGAAAAGCAAGUUGUUAGCAACAACUUGGGCUAACAACGCCCAAACACCAAUGCCCACUUCCAGGAAAAUACUUUGCACGUUGCCAACGUGCAUUAAGGCUAGUGUUAUUGGCAAGAACGCCAAAUCAUUGGGCCAGGAGCAUUAUGAAUGAGCCUCUCUCUCCCUAUUGAGCAACACUUCUUCUAUUUACAUCUUCCACUAAGCCAAGAAUUCAACAAGGAUAGAGUCCACAUUGCUAGCCCAAUUGAAGAUCUCUGAAAGAGUUUUAGGAGUAGUAUAAAUAGAGAAGAGUUUGAUACUUUAAGGGACUUUUGACUCUUAUUUUUUUAGCAAUUUUUACUCUUAGACACUUUUACUUUUAGAGUUUUUUUUGGGUUUCCACUUUUUCUCACCGGUCUUCUAUUUUGUUUUUCCUGUAACUUUGAAUUUGAGUUUUAAGAACUUCUUCUUCUUCUUCUUCAUUCGUCUCUACACUUAGUUUAAUUUUCAUCUUUGCAAUUGUUGUUGAAAUUGGAGCUAUGAUUCACUAAACCCCACUUUCAUUAGGGGGAAGAGCUCUGCUCAUUUGAAUGAGUUGAUAACUUUUCUUUUCCUUCUCAAUUCAAGCGGUUCAUCUAAAAGGAAACUCUUGUUCUUCACAGAUUCAAUCACCAUCGAGAGAGGGAUUAAUCUAUAUGAAUUAUGUGGUGAAUUUAAGAAAGGAGCUACAUAAUUCAGUUUAGUGAACUUCAUCUCUUCUCAUGAACAAUUAGAUCACGAGAGUGGCAAUUGGUUGUGUUGAGAGAAAUUGAGUUACCAAGAGAUUGGGACUCAAUUAACCAUAAUUUGCCAUGGAUCUAUACCCAUGAUUGAGAAGAAAUUGAUCAACAUCAAUUCAUGAGAAUUUGCAUCUCCGAUCCUUAAUGAUCCUUUCCAUCAUUAAUUCUCAUUUCUUUUGUUCUUUAGUUAUUUUGAAUACCCAUUACCCAAUUCCCUUUUAUCUUGCAAUUUAUCAUUCUUGCCAUUUACAUUCUGUUUAUCUAAUUCUUGCAAUCUACUCUUCUGCUCUUUAUAAUUCCGCAAUCUUUACUUUCUUGCAAGCUACCUUUAAUGUCAUUUAAGUUUCUUGCAUUUUAAGUUUCAGUUAUUUACUUUCAUUGUUCUUCUUUAUUCUAGUUCUUUAAAUUUCUUGCCAUUUAAAUUUUUGCAAUUAUGUUCAAAAAUCACAAAUCUCAUGAAAUCAAAAUCAUGUUUGCUUGACUAAAUCUAUCAUUUAACUAAAGUUGCUUAAUCUACCAAUCUCUGUGGGAUCGACCUCACUCUUAGUGAGUUUUAUUACUUGAUACGACCCGGUAUACUUGCCGGUAAUUACGUGAAAAUAAAUUUUUACGUAUCAAGUUUUUGGCGCCGUUGCCGGGGAUUGAAUUAGAUUGACAAUGAUUAAGUUAAGUGAAGAUCUAGAUCUAGCACUUUUUAUUUUUGUUCUUUAACUUUUAACUAACACACUAACUGUUUGAAUUUUUGCUUAAGCCAACUAACAUUUCACUUCAGCCAUGGAUUGAAGUGUUAUUGCCUUUCUGGUGUUGUGUGAUUCUUAUGCUUUGGUUGCAUGUCAGGUACAAGGAGAAUUAUACCCACUUUUUGUGAACAAGACGAAAGAACCCUCAGAAGAUUAAGAAGAGCUGAAAGAGGGAAAAACAUUAUUGGAGAAGAGGAUUCAGACGGAGAAGACCAAGUCAUGGAGGGCAAUUCACAUAACCAUGCUGAGGGAGUUGCCAAUAAUAACAACCCAGAGAGAGUUGCCAACAAUAACAACCCACCUCAAAGGAGAGUUCUAGCUUCUUACACUCUCCCAAAUCCAAGACACUGUGGGAGCAGUAUACUCGCUCCCAAUAUUCAUGCAAACAACUUUGAAUUGAAGCCUCAUCUCAUCACUCUCGUGCAAAACAAUUGUUCCUAUGGAGGAGGCCCCCUUGAGGACCCAAAUCAACACCUAUCUGUCUUCCUAAGAAUUUGUGAAACUGUCAAGACAAAUGGUGUGCAUCCAGAUGUUUACAAGCUGCUAUUAUUCCCAUUUUCUUUGAGGGAUAAGGCAUUUCAAUGGCUGGAGACAUUCCCCAAAGAAAGUAUCAACACUUGGGAUGAUCUGGUGAAUAAAUUCCUAUCCAAGUUCUAUCCGCCUCAGAGGAUCAUCAGGUUAAAAACGGAGGUGCAAACAUUCACUCAAAUGGAUGGGGAAUCAUUGUAUGAAGCAUGGGAAAGAUACAAAGCCCUGAUUAGAAAAUGUCCACCUGAGAUGUUCAGUGAAUGGGAUAAACUUCAAAAUUUCUAUGAAGGGUUGACUGAAAAAUCUCAAGAGUCCUUGGAUUACUCUGCAGGAGGCUCACUACAAUUGAUGAAUACAGCCGAAGAAGCUCAGAAUCUCAUAGACAUGGUGACAAAUAACCAAUACUUCUUUGCUCAUCAGAGGCAACGCCAACCUAUUCAAAAGAAGGGCGUGUUGGAACUAGAAGGAUUGGAUACAAUCUUGGCACAGAACAAGUUGAUGCACCAACAAAUCCAGCAACAAAUGAAAAUGAUGGCUAAGAGAAUAGAUGGCCUCCAACUAGCUUCAGUGAGCACAACAAAUCAAGCUUCAAUUGAAUGGGGUCAAAAUGAAACAGGCAAUGUUGAGCAGCAACAAGAACAAGUUCAAUACAUGCAAAAUACCUCAAGUUCAUUUCAAAAUGACUUCCAUGGUGACACAUACAACUCAUCCUGGAGGAACCACCCCAACCUGAGAUGGGGUGAUAAUUAAAACCAGUGGCAGAAAAACAACAACUCCAACCAUUCUCGCAACACACACAACCAAAAUCAUUCAUCUAACAACACUAACCAAUACAAAAAACCACAAAACACAUAUCAACCAACCCACAACAAUUCACAAAUUCACCAAAAUAACUUCUCCACACCACCAUUCAACUCACAAAAUGCCCACCUCAAUGCUCCAAACAACUUCCAGCCACAACAAUCAUACCCUACCAUACCACCCAUUGACCAUCAUGAAACCAGGAUCUCAAGUCUUGAAGCAGCCUUGCAAGCCCUUACCCAAAACACACAGUCACUUGCCCAGACCACUCAAGGUUUAGCCAAGGGGCAAGAAAUUUUGCUCAAAGGACAAGAGAGACAUGAAGCCACCAUGAAGAACCUUGAACGACAAGUGGGACAAUUGGCCAAACAAGCUGAACGGCCAACCAAUGUUCUCCCAAGUGAUACAAUCUCCAAUCCAAAGGACACAGGAAAAGCCAUAAAGUGGGAGGAGUGUAAAGCAAUCACCCUGAGAAGUGGUAAGAAGGUGGAGACAGAAGCCAUCACUCAGGAAGAGCACAACAAAGAAGGCUUGAAAGAAGAGGUAAAGGAGCAAAAGCAGGAGCAAGAAACCUCUACACAAAGUGAUAAGUCAACUAAGAAAGAGGCAGUGAGAGCAUAUCAACCAAUGCUACCAUAUCCUCAAAGAUUCAAGGGAGAGAACAAAGAGAAGCAAUACUCCAAAUUUCUGGAGAUAUUCAAGACACUGCACAUCAACAUCCCCUUCAUAGAAGCACUUGAACAAAUGCCAUUGUAUGCAAAGUUCAUGAAGGAAUUGUUAACAAAGAAAAGAUCCUUGAAGGAGGGACAAAUGGUUGUAAUGACCACGGAGUGUAGUGCCAUUAUCCAGAAAGGAUUACCAAGGAAGAGGAAGGACCCAGGGAGCUUUCAUAUCCCCUGCACCAUAGGCAACAUGACAAUUGAGAAAGCAUUUUGUGAUCUUGGUGCAAGCAUCAACUUAAUGCCUCUAUCCCUGAUGAGGAAGCUUCAGAUUCAUGAAUUGAGACCCACAAAAAUAGCCCUUCAAAUGGCAGACAAAUCCAUUCAGCAAGCACUUGGUGUUGUGGAGAAUGUAUUGGUAAAGGUGGACAAAUUUUUCCUCCCAGCUGACUUCGUCAUCCUAGACAUAGAGGAAGAUGGCAACACUCCCAUUAUCCUAGGGAGACCCUUCUUAGCUACUGCCAGGGCAUUGAUAGAUGUUGAAAAAGGAGAAUUGAUGCUAAGGGUGCAUGAAGAGCAUAUAGUGUUCCAUGUCUUCAAGAAUUUGCAAGAUUCUACCCAAGAGGAGGAGUGUAUGAAGAUUGAUUCCAUAAAUCCAAACUUGAAAGAAGCACCUGAUGAAACACUUCCAAUGCACCUAAGCUCAUGCUGGAAAAGAAAGGAAGAGGUAGAAGUGGUGCAAAAAGCUCAAAGAAUAGAGGAGAAGCUACAACCAAAGCCUGCAUUUGAGAUUCUCAGCAAAGACAUUCCAAAAAUUGAGACUUCGAAACCUGAACUACCUCCUGAAAAAGAAAAGAGUCCCAAGAAGAAAGUGCCAAGAGGAUGGAGAAACAAGAAAAUCCCCACUGAAGGUUUCUCACCAGGGGAUAAAGUGAUGCUAACUUACCAACCAAUGGAAACAUCUCCACACUUUUCUGGAUAUUACACAGUGAACAAAAUCCUAUCACUUGGACAUGUGGAAAUCAUCAAGAAGGAUACUGGAAGGAAGCUCACGGUGAGAGGGGAAGGAUUAAGGCACUAUGAUCAUCAUCCUCCCUAAAGAGGGACAACCGUCAAGCUAAUGACAAUAAAAGAGCGCUUGUUGGGAGGCAACCCAACCUUAGGUAACUAUUUUUUAUACUCUUCUCAGAAUAAAUGGUUAGUUCAACUUCUAUGUAUUGCAAGGAAUUAAGUUUGGUGUUCCACACCAAUGUGAUUGUAUCAACAAAAAAAAAAUUUAAGGGUGAAUGCAUGGUACUAAGUUUGGUGUUCCCACACCAACUUAAGUUCAAGAACUCACAAGCAUAACUGCAUGCUAACCAUCUCUCAAGUGCUUGGGGACAAGCAACUUUCAAAGUUUAUAGUAGGCAGUCACUUCAAUCUUGGGAAGGAUUAAGCAUCAUCAACCAAAGAGACAAAGAGGGAUGUAAAGACCAACAAUGAUGAUGAUAAGGAGUAAAGCAAGUAAACUCCAAAAGGUUGUAUUGUUAAGUGAUUGUCUUUUAUUUAAAACUGUUAUGAUUGAAAGCAAUACUGCACCCCUGCUUGUCUGCUUAGUAUAAUCUCUUUAAAAGUUCAAUAACUAAGAUGCAAAAUACAUCCUAGCACCAUACACUUGAAAAUCUACUUACACUCAAGAUCCAUAAAUUGCAAACAGAGAACAGUUCUUUGAAAAGAAUGAUUGAGGAGUCAAAAUUUUGUUUUGAGGCAAGCAAAAGAUUAAGAGAAGUGGUGGUUCUAGUUGUAUGAUUGUGUAUUGAGGUUGCAUGUUUGUGAAAACCUGCAUGGGAGCUCAUAGGCAGGAAAGAGAGUUCAAAGAAGUAUUGUGGAGAUUCUCAAAUAUCUUUUGAUCCAAGAAGCAGCAAAAAAAAAUAGAAGAAAAAAAAAGAGAGAGAACAUGGCAAAAGGCUCUGAGCAUCAAUUACUAGGAAGAAAAAGAAAGAAAUAAGAACUCAAAAAGUUAUUAUCCUAGUUAAAUCUUGUGGUAGAAUUGUGUCAAAGAGAGAGGCUUGAGCAAGUAAAUCCUAAGGGGUGCUUCAACACCUAAUACCUUAAAACCAACUGGUUUGGGAGUGUUGAUUGAAAGCAUAUCUAAAGAGCCGCUUUGAGACAUGACACUUAGAGUCAAGGCCAAGACACAAAAACUAUAAGACUGCUUCAAGGUGAUUACCUAUAGAGAGAUUUCCAUGAUAUCAUUUGAAUGAAAAUCCUAAGAUCUAAGACUUCUAAAAUGUAGGGACUAAUAAGCACUGGAAUCCUUGCAUGAGCAUAUAAUUCAGAGUUCACCCCACUAUCACUUAAUUACUUCACUCACAAAGGCAUUACAAGCUAUCCCUCAACUUGUUCCAAUUAAAAGAAACCUUUGUCCAUAGUUCUUUUCUUGCUUGAGGACAAGCAAGGUUUAAGUUUGGUGUUGUGAUGCAUUUGCAUCUUUGCUAUAUUAGCUAGUUAGUUUAAGUAGUUUUAGCUUAAUUUCAUUCAUUUUCAUCAAAAUAAACAAGCAGUUAUAUGAACUUUCUCUCCAUGCAUUCAUGAACCAAGAAUUAGGUGGAACUUGGCCAUAUUGAUGCAAAUAAUUCAAGAAGUUUACAAAUGAAUGAGUAUGAAUGAAUCUCUUGAAAUUGAUUGCAUGGAAUGGCAAUACUUUGAGACAAUUUCUUGGGUUAAUGAUAGGUAAUGAAGCAAGAAGGCAAGGGAGCAAGAAUUGGAGCAAGAAAGAUUGGGGGCAUAGCAAACAGGGCAAGGAGGAAGGGACUUGGGCGUUGCUAACGCCAGGAACAAGGGCGUGUUCCUAGGCAACGCCAGGGACAAAGGAAGCAACCCUGGGAAGUGAUCAUGCACGUUGCCAACUCCAGGAAGAGCUGGAGUGUUUGCCAACAACGCCCAACAAUGGAAGACAGCCCUGGCUCUCUCCUAAGCACGUUACCAACGCCACCAACAAGGGCGUGUUUGGUGACAAUGCCAGCAACAAGAAGGCUUGGGUAGGAAGGGUGUGAAGCACGUUGCAACGCCAAAUUCUGAAGGCGUGUUCCUUGGCAACGCAGCAAGCAACCUUGGAGAGCUAGUCCAAAGCCUCGAGCACGUUGCCAGCCUAGAGAUGAAGGGUGUGUUUGAGGACAACGCAGGAAAACAACGCUGAAUAGAAGACUUGGCCCAGGAAAGGGAGAUGCACGUUGCCAACGCCAAGUUCUGAAGGCGUGUUCCUUGGCAACGUAGCAAGCAAAGCUUGGUGCCAUAGGGAAGGCUCGAGCACGUUGUUGGGCUGGGAGAGCAUUGGCGUGUUCCAAGGCAACGCCAAGCAAGGAAGCAGCCCUGGAGAAGCCAGCACGUUGCCAACUUGGAAGAAAGGGGGCGUGUUCAGCAACAACUCCAGCGAACUUGGCAGCCUGACCUUACCUUCUUCAAGGAUGCAUAACUUGAGCUACAAAGCUUCAAAGGAAGUGAUUCCAGUGGCAUUGGAAAGUAGACAUCAAGAGCUUUCCAACCAUAUAUCAUAGUAUGGAGUUAGCAUUCAUUUGAAGCUUCAAAAGCUGGCUUCAUUUGGAGCCUCAGAAAGGAGCACGUUGCCAAAGUGGGUUCAUUGGCGUGUUCAUUGGCAACGCAGCAAACUUGGAGCUAGGAAGCAACCACGAGCACGUUGCUAACUUGGAGUUAUAAGGGAGUGUUCAUCAACAACGCCAAUAUCUAGGCAACCUUGGAAUGAAGCAACCCACGUUGGCAACUUGAAAAUACAAAGGAGUGUUUGCCAAAAACGCUGGUGAGCUGGACAGCCUGACCUUACCUCCUUCAAUGGAGUAUAUCUUGAGCUACAAAGCUCCAAAUGAGGUGAUUCCAACGGCAUUUGAAAGUAGACAUCCAGAGCUUUCCAACCAUAUAUCAUAGUAUAGAAUUGGCAUUCAUUUGAAGCUUCAAAAGCUGGAUUUAUUUAGAGCUUCAGAAUCUGAGCACGUUGGCAACGCUGGAAACAAGGGCGUUUUCACCAAAAACGUGUGCGAUUUUGGCAGCCUGACCCUGUCUCCUUCAAACGAGCAUAACUUGAGUUAUAGAGAUCCAAAUUGAGUGCUUCCAGUUGCGUUGGAAAGAAGACAUUCAGAGCUUUCUAACCAUAUAUAAUAGUCUAUAGUGGAGCAUGAAAUAAAAGCUCGAAUCAGAGUCAUCUUUAGGCCCCAAAAAUAAGGAAAUGAGGUUGAAAUUCAAGGAAGCAUGAAUGGGCCCUGGAGGGGAGCAGCGAGCACGUUGCCAACGUGCCAACAAGGGGGCGUGUUCAGCAACAACGCCAGCCCCAUGUCUCAGCCUUGGGAGGUUUGGCACGUUGCCAACUUGGAAGAGAGGGGCGUGUUCAGCAACAACUUCAACAAACUUGGCAGCCUGACCUUAUCUUCUUUGAGGAAGCAUAACUUGAGCUUAAAAAAUCCAAUUGAGAUGAUUCCAAGUGCAUUAGAAAGAAGACACUCUGAGCUUUCCAAUGAUGUAUGAUAGUCCAUAUUGAAGUAGAGGAUUGACACUCAAAUUCUGGGCAACAUUAAGCAUGAAAGUAGAGUCAAGAAGAAGAAAAGCAAGUUGUUAGCAACAACUUGGGCUAACAACGCCCAAACACCAAUGCCCACUUCCAGGAAAAUACUUUGCACGUUGCCAACGUGCAUUAAGGCUAGUGUUAUUGGCAAGAACGCCAAAUCAUUGGGCCAGGAGCAUUAUGAAUGAGCCUCUCUCUCCCUAUUGAGCAACACUUCUUCUAUUUACAUCUUCCACUAAGCCAAGAAUUCAACAAGGAUAGAGCCCACAUUGCUAGCCCAAUUGAAGAUCUCUGAAGGAGUUUUAGGAGUAGUAUAAAUAGAGAAGAGUUUGAUACUUUAAAGGAAUUUUGACUUUUAUUUUUUUAGCAAUUUUUACUCUUAGACACUUUUACUUUUAGAGUUUUUUUUGGGUUUCCACUUUUUCUCACCGGUCUUCUAUUUUGUUUUUCCUGUAAUUUUGAAUUUGAGUUUUAAGAACUUCUUCUUCUUCUUCUUCAUUCGUCUCUACACUUAGUUUAAUUUUCAUCUUUGCAAUUGUUGUUGAAAUUGGAGCUAUGAUUCACUAAACCCCACUUUCAUUAGGGGGAAGAGCUCUGCUCAUUUGAAUGAGUUGAUAACUUUUCUUUUCCUUCUCAAUUCAAGUGGUUCAUCUAAAAGGAAACUCUUGUUCUUCACAGAUUCAAUCACCAUCGAGAGAGGGAUUAAUCUAUAUGAAUUAUGUGGUGAAUUUAAGAAAGGAGCUACAUAAUUCAGUUUAGAGUUCAUCCUUUCAUGAUUUCCUUUAUCAAUACACUUUGGUUGGUAUGUGAGAUGUAACCUCCCUUAGUUGAGAUUCUGGAAGUUGUGUGGCUUGGAUUAGGAAUUGAACUUCAUCUCUUCUCAUGAACAAUUAGAUCACGAGAGUGACAAUUGGUUGUGUUGAGAGAAAUUGAGUUACCAAGAGAUUGGGACUCAAUUAACCAUAAUUUGCCAUGGAUCUAUACCCAUGAUUGAGAAGAAAUUGAUCAACAUCAAUUCAUGAGAAUUUGCAUCUCCGAUCCUUAAUGAUCCUUUCCAUCAUUAAUUCUCAUUUCUUUUGUUCUUUAGUUAUUUUGAAUACCCAUUACCCAAUUCCCUUUUAUCUUCUUGCAAUUUAUCAUUCUUGCCAUUUACAUUCUGUUUAUCUAAUUCUUGCAAUCUACUCUUCUGCUCUUUAUAAUUCCGCAAUCUUUACUUUCUUGCAAGCUACCUUUAAUGUCAUUUAAGUUUUUUGCAUUUUAAGUUUCAGUUUUUUACUUUCAUUGUUCUUCUUUAUUCUAGUUCUUUAAAUUCCUUGCCAUUUAAAUUUUUGCAAUUAUGUUCAGAAAUCACAAAUCUCAUGAAAUCAAAACCAUGUUUGCUUGACUAAAUCUAUCAUUUAACUAAAGUUGCUUAAUCUACCAAUCUCCGUGGGAUCGACCUCACUCUUAGUGAGUUUUAUUAUUUGAUACGACCCGGUAUACUUGCCGGUAAUUACGUGAAAAUAAAUUUUUACGUAUCACAUAUUAGCCAUUCCCUCUUCAUAAAGGUCAACCUCAUCUCAUGCAUGAUUGUGAUGUGAAUAUGUGGUGUUUCUCCAUUUUUGUUAUCUCUUCUGUUUUGGGACCAUUGGAGGGAGA
This 11718-nucleotide long non-coding RNA is filed under the name Arachis ipaensis. RNAcentral's name for it is "long non-coding RNA (AIPA_LNC000305)". Lineage: Eukaryota; Viridiplantae; Streptophyta; Magnoliopsida; Fabales; Fabaceae. The record is from RNAcentral.